Non-coding RNA from Actinomortierella wolfii, 82 nucleotides. The record is from the annotation of a GenBank genome assembly. NCBI's taxonomy places the organism in Eukaryota, Fungi, Mortierellomycota, Mortierellomycetes, Mortierellales, Mortierellaceae.
GUCACUUUGGCCGAGUGGUUAAGGCGAUCGCCUGCUAAGCGGUUGUGCUCUGCACGCGCAGGUUCGAAUCCUGCAGGUGACG